CCCCUUGAGUCGGGGUGCUGCCUUGUGCGGCUGAGAACAUACCCGUUGCACCUGAACCGGUUAAUGCCGACGGAGGGAACUCGCGGCCGGUUUGG
Molecule: non-coding RNA, 95 nt
Filed under: Eikenella corrodens
Lineage: Bacteria; Pseudomonadati; Pseudomonadota; Betaproteobacteria; Neisseriales; Neisseriaceae
Description: TPP sequence
Rfam family: TPP riboswitch aptamer (THI element)
About the family: Vitamin B(1) in its active form thiamin pyrophosphate (TPP) is an essential coenzyme that is synthesised by coupling of pyrimidine and thiazole moieties in bacteria.
Source: RNAcentral